RNAcentral lists this ribosomal RNA (322 nucleotides) under uncultured Acholeplasma sp. Its description in RNAcentral is "bacterial SSU rRNA". It matches the Rfam family "Bacterial small subunit ribosomal RNA", at positions 1059 to 1382 of the family's 1533-position model. Lineage: Bacteria; Bacillati; Mycoplasmatota; Mollicutes; Acholeplasmatales; Acholeplasmataceae. The record is from RNAcentral.
CUCGUGUCGUGAGAUGUUGGGUUAAGUCCCGCAACGAGCGCAACCCCUAUUGCUAGUUACCAUCAUUAAGUUGGGGACUCUAGCGAGACUGCCAGUGAUAAACUGGAGGAAGGUGGGGAUGACGUCAAAUCAUCAUGCCCCUUAUGACCUGGGCUACAAACGUGAUACAAUGGCUGGAACAAAGGGAUGCGAAGCAGUGAUGUGGAGCGAAACCCAUAAAAACAGUCUCAGUUCGGAUUGAAGUCUGCAACUCGACUUCAUGAAGUCGGAAUCGCUAGUAAUCGCGGAUCAGAACGCCGCGGUGAAUACGUUCUCGGGGUUU